AGGGCACCACCAGGAGUGGAGCCUGCGGCUUAAUUUGACUCAACACGGGAAAACUCACCCGGCCCGGACACUGGAAGGAUUGACAGAUUGAGAGCUCUUUCUUGAUUCAGUGGGUGGUGGUGCAUGGCCGUUCUUAGUUGGUGGAGUGAUUUGUCUGGUUAAUUCCGAUAACGAACGAGACUCUAGCCUGCUAAAUAGAUCGUCGGCUUACAAACGCCGGCGAGACUUCUUAGAGGGACAGGCGGUGAUUCAACCGCACGAAACAGAGCAAUAACAGGUCUGUGAUGCCCUUAGAUGUCCGGGGCCGCACGCGCGCUACACUGAAGUGAUCAGCGUGCUUUUUCAACCUACUCUGUCAAGAGUGGGGAACCCAAUGAACCUUCUUCGUGAUUGGGAUAGGGGAUUGUAAUUAUUCCCCUUGAACGAGGAAUUCCCAGUAAGCGCGAGUCAUAAGCUCGCGUUGAUUACGUCCCUGCCCUUUGUACACACCGCCCGUCGCUACUACCGAUUGAAUGUUUU
RNAcentral lists this ribosomal RNA (519 nucleotides) under uncultured eukaryote. RNAcentral describes it as "SSU rRNA". It matches the Rfam family "Eukaryotic small subunit ribosomal RNA", at positions 1161 to 1699 of the family's 1831-position model. The record is from RNAcentral.